Malaclemys terrapin pileata is the source of this 1820-nucleotide long non-coding RNA. RefSeq lists it as uncharacterized. The record is from RefSeq and is a predicted model, not a curated record. The transcript has 3 exons. Lineage: Eukaryota; Metazoa; Chordata; Testudines; Emydidae.
CUCAAAAUACACAUCCUCCAAGACUUCCUCCCUUCCCUCCUCCUGUCCAAAAGAAUUCCUCCUGCUAAAUCUAGGCUUCCCUGAUUUUGCAUUUCUAAAGUAAAACAGGUUUUUUCUCCCGUAUAAAAAAGUAAGUCUUAACAGUAUAACAGUAAAAACAGGUACAAGCCCAGUGUUUUUUAAAUACUUUCUUUUGCAAGUCAAUGGCAGAGUCACCAAUAGAAUCUGGGUCUGCUGGUUUCUAGUCCAGUGCCUUAGUCACUGGGCCAGUAAUGUAGAGAUAACAUUUCAUGCACCUAAGAAGUAAACAGGCAGUGCGUUUACAUUCAUGAAAACUGGAUCUCAGCCAGCUGUGGUUGAAAUGCUGCAGAGGACUUUGGAGGUAAGGGAAAGAGAACAAAAGAAAAUAUAAAACGAGCAAGCAGGAUGGACGGCCAAAAGAUCAGGGUGAUCCAACAAAAGGGCCUGAGAGCAAAGGGGCAAAAACAGCCUGGCAUAUCCCUCAGCAAAAUAGCCAGGAAGUUGGAGCUCACCAGGAUGAAGCUGACAGCAGAAAAGGAACAAGAGCACCAGAGGUGAGCAGCUGCAGAGAGAGCCAAAGAGCAAGAGUCAGAGAGAUUAGCCCAAGAAGCUGUACAUGAGGGAGCCAUGGAGACGGAAGAGCAAAAACACGAGGAGAGUGAACAUGUACACAGGCUGCUGGAGAUGCAGAUACAAAACCCAGUAAGCAGUCCUCUCCAAAGAUCACAGAACUGGGGCAAAUUGUGACCUAAUUACAAGGAAACUCGCUGCAUUGAGGAAUUCUGACCACCUUGGAAAUGAUCUGCAGUGUACAGAACAUCGCUGAGGACCAGAGAAUGACUGUUGUGUUCUCCAAGCUGAUGGGGAAAGCAUUACAAGUGUUUAAUGAUAUGGAUAAAUGAAAAAUGCCUUAUUAUCGGUGGAUGCCUUAUUAUCGGGGAGGUCUUAUUAUCGGGGGGAUGCCUUAUAUUACAACGAGAGGCAAAACUGUAAGUAGGCCUUAUUUUCGGAGGAUGUCUUAUUUUCGGGGAAACAGGGUAGUGGAAGAUGCCUUGUCCAGGCAAGAGAGUUAUGGCCAGACAACUAUGGAUCAGCCAGUGGCUAACCCCACUACAUCAACAUAAGGGGGGAGGUGUGACCCAAGAAUCCCUUAAUGCCAACUGGCAAGGGGACUACAGGAACAUCUUGAUAUUAGUAUGUCCACUCUGGUUCACCAAAAAAUGUCAAGUGAGGUCUUAAAUGAAAGCCAGGGUCACACUGGUCAUUAAUAUCACUGUGAAAUGUAUUUAAGGAAUUAUGUGUAUGUACCGAAAACAUGUCCUUAGAUUUUGUAUCAAGACAUGAGUCACCAGCAGAGGUGAAGAAACAGGUUUUCUGCCAGACAAGAGAUGUUUAUUCACCUUUCUCUGUCAUAUGUAAAUUAAGCACUGCAAGCCAGCAUUGUUAUUGAAGAGAUGUGAAAUCAACAGGGCAGCAGCAUACAAGAACAAGAAGCCACGGGGGCUCACACUGUCUCAGAGUACACACAAGGAACUUUGAGGCUAUAACUAGAAAGCAAAGAAAACACUGCAGCUAGAAAAUAAACACACUGCCGGUUUACAUUAAUGAAAAUGGGAUCCCAGCCAACCUUGGCUGAAAUGCUGCAGAGGACUUUGGGGAUGAGAGAAACUUCUUUAGACAGGAGGUAAGCCUGUUAGUUAAGUUUGGUCUCUAGAAAGUGUGUCAUGAUUUUGUUUUAUGUAACCACUUGUUUCCAAUAUUCUUGUUCUCUAUUGCUUGAAUCUGUGAGAAUAAAUGUA